This is a ribosomal RNA of Sinocyclocheilus anshuiensis, 117 nucleotides long. The record is from Ensembl. NCBI's taxonomy places the organism in Eukaryota, Metazoa, Chordata, Actinopteri, Cypriniformes, Cyprinidae.
ACCGGCAGCCAUAUCACCCUGUAGCCCAAGACUGGUUGCCCACUGAAGCUAAGCAGGGCUGAGCCUGGUCAGUACCUGGAUGGGAGACCUCCUGGGAAAACGAGGUUGCUGCUGGAA